Molecule: long non-coding RNA, 1512 nt
Organism: Brassica rapa (field mustard)
Lineage: Eukaryota; Viridiplantae; Streptophyta; Magnoliopsida; Brassicales; Brassicaceae
Source: RefSeq, a predicted model, not a curated record
AUAAAGAACUUUUUACUUGACAAUACAAAAUUUUUAUUCAAUAAAGUUUAUAAUCCUUGACAUUAUUCUAAAAAUUGGUUUAGAUGACGUCUUGAAAUGCUUUAAAAAAAAUUGAUUUAUACAAGGAAAAUUUGGCUGUAUGACGCUGAAAAAAACCAUAAUUCACCUUCUAGUCAAUUUCCCUAAUAUAUCGAUACACCAUCUAUCUUUUCUAUAAUAUUGCCAAAAUACCAUUUCAUUCUACCGGUGAAACCUGAAGAAAAUAAAAAUAAAAAAUCCUAGUUAUUAGCUGUUUCAAAUUACUCGUGGUGUAAUCAUAUUCACAUAUUUUCUUUUACCUUUAUUUAGUAAUUUUUGAGAAAUUGAUCCAUAAUUUUCUCCACCUCUUCCAACCACGUUUCCCUCCUCCCCAUCGCCACCGUCUGUGUUCUCUGAGUUUAUUUCUUUCUCUAAUUGUGUUGCAAAGGGAAUCGUCUCCACUUUGGGAAUCUAUUGCGAGAAGACGUCGUGACAGUCCAAACGGGGAGAAGGAGCACACUGACCAUUUUUCCAUUCACAUCGGCGCUUUUUCUCAGAUAUAUUACAAUACUGUAAGUUCUAGGGUGUGUGUUUUAGAUUCUAUUCUUGCGAUGCUCUUUUUCCCUAUUUGGGUUGCAUGUCGGAUCUAGUAGACAAAGGUCACCGAAUCGAUUUAGGGCUGAACUUUUACCGAUUUGUCUUACUCAUCUGUUUACAUCGAAGUCUAUGGUAAUUUUGUUUGGAAUCGAGACAAAGAUAGUAUAUAUAGAGCUAUUUGAUCGCUCUAUGCUAUGUGACAUGGAAUAGCUUAAAUUGUAUUUAGAAUUUAUAUUCCAUUCAAUGUACUUUUGUGUUCCAAGUUAUACGUAUAUAUACAAUACUAUAUCAAAUAGAAAUAAUUAUCUUGUUUUAUGUAUCGAGUGUAGUUCACUCCUCGCAAAUGGUAAUGUAUAACAAUUCCAUUCUAUGUAACCAUGUGUACCAUGUCAUAUAUAGAUUUACUAUUCCAUAUAAAUAGAAAUGUUUAUCUUGUGCUAUGUAUCAGUUCGCUCAUGUCAUAUUCUCUUUGUGAUUCCAAGACAAAUACAUUUGGCUUAGAAUAAAUGUUUUUAUAGAACUAAGCGACUUUGGCUUUGUAUAGGUUGCUCCGCUGUAGUGACACUUAUCAUGUUAUAAAUGCACGGUGUUGGGAUGGAAUUGAAGUGUGUGGCUUUCACUGAAGAAAAUGUUUGUGUAGCUGAGGAGAACUACUUGAUUGAAACACUGGCACUGUGUCAAGCCGGAGCACUCACCCAGGACGUGUAGACAUGGGUUUAUGGUUUCUAAGCAUUGUUUUUAUGUUCUAGCUUUGCUUCUUGUUUUUAGAUACUACCAUCUAAACUACCUCCGUGUUGUAGUAAUGUUUUAUGUAGUGACUCCAACUCUAUGUAUCUUCUUCCUUUUUGUUGCUUACACUGGAAGAAUGAAAUCACAUUCCAUAUGCGUCAAUUUGAA